RNAcentral lists this long non-coding RNA (650 nucleotides) under Linum usitatissimum (flax). Its description in RNAcentral is "long non-coding RNA (LUSI_LNC005851)". The record is from RNAcentral. Lineage: Eukaryota; Viridiplantae; Streptophyta; Magnoliopsida; Malpighiales; Linaceae.
AGAAAAUAAGAGAAAUACCACCAACUCCUAACUGCCCAUCUAAGAAAAACUGGAUGGUAUCCGCCACUCUAUCAAUCACCACAGCAAAGCUCACACCUUGAGCUCUUGUCUUGUAGUCUAAUGAUUCUGCAGCAUAAACCCAAGUCACUGGCCCUAAUCCUAUACUUCAAACGAACUAAGGAUCCCUAGCAAUCCAAAUAAGCUCACACCCACUAUACCAGUAUUGAUUGGGGCAAUGGUGAAGGCAAAUCCAAUGCCAAAGGAAUUGAGUAGAUGGCCUGUAAAGAUUCAGAUGUUGAGAUUCACCGUCAUCAGCCCCCAUCCAAAAUCUUCGAUAGCAUUAUCUGCGUACGUAUCUAAACAACAAUUAAGUUUGGAUCUGUAUUAGAGAAAUUGAGGCCAAAAACAAAACAGACGAUCUAUUGAGUAAGCUACUUACCGAACCCUACAAUAAAGAAGGAAAGGGAAGUAACCAGCGAGUAAAGCUCUGACUUCAUCAUUAAUUUACGCUGAAAUGAAUGUAGUAGUAACUAGGAGUGAUAUAUAUGCUGGAAUUAUAUUAUGUUGAUAUGGGGAAAACUGGAAGCAUAUAUAUAUAUAUAGCUCCUGUUGUGAGAAUUUGUUGAUGAAUGAAUUCAUGCAUGGUUAAU